This is a long non-coding RNA of Caretta caretta (loggerhead turtle), 5564 nucleotides long. RefSeq lists it as uncharacterized. Lineage: Eukaryota; Metazoa; Chordata; Testudines; Cheloniidae. The record is from RefSeq and is a predicted model, not a curated record.
AUCAAUCACCUAGAUGGCAGAUUGAUUACCCUAAAGCAAAGGCAUACACCCCAAGGAUGAGAUAAGGAGUUGAGCCAAAGGGAUGAUAUAAGAAACAGCUGUGGAUCCUCCCCGUUACAACUCAGAAUAAUGCUAAUUAAGAACAACCUCGAAUACCUCCCGAUUGACAGCUCCGGUGUGACACAGCAAGGUCCAUAGACUUGUAUGGGAACUUAUCACUAUAAAAGCCAUGGGACUUUGGGUUCAUUCUGUAUCAACAUCGAGCUUCAAACGCGUUUCACAAAGGCUCAGCUCCCCUCCCUUCUGUGCAGUUUCAGCUGGCCACUGGAACUGACCGAGCAACACUAAGGACUGCACUGUAUGAAGAUGAAGUUCUUAUGGUGAAAUCUUAGCAUAAAACACAGUUUGGAGGUUCAACUGAGAAGUCAGGAUUCUGUGAUCUCGGUACUCACUGAUCAUACUUUGGGCAUGGUGACAAUCAUAUCCUUUCUACUUUGAUAGCUGCAAUUGGUGUUGUUUGAAUUAUGCAUAAGUGAAUACAAGUUUUUUUUUAAAACCCUGACCACUUCAUGAAUCACUCAAAGUACUCUACUAUGAGUGAAGAAAGUACUUAUUACCUUAAGACCAAAUUUUUAUCUGUGACAAAAUACAGCAGUUUGCUGUUUUACCACUAUGGGCAUCUCCAGAGUAACUAAAGAGAACAAUACAUUUGGUAUAAAGUAGAACAAAGAUUUCCAUGUACCUUACUCUAAAGAUGGCAAAGGAUUUAUUUAGGUCAGGCAUUUUAAAUAUGAAAUCAACAUAAGGAGCCAUAUAAGUAAAGUUAUCCACAUUAAGACCAGUAUUUUCAAGCUUAAUUUCAUAUCAACACACUUAAUUUUAGGCAACCAAAUCUGAACAUUUGAUACCUCGAUAUACUAAGUGUGUUUUACUCUCUCGCCAGCAGAUGCAGAACCUACAAAUAUUAUAUAUAUUUUAGCUUGAAACUGCAAAAUCAGAGCUCCAAAAAAUUUCAUAUGGAAAUAUAUAAACCUUGGGCUAAUGCUGGUGCCUUUUUUGUCUCCCUGAUGGAUUUCACUACUUCAUACUCUUUUUUUUUCUUUAAGCACAGUUCUGAAUUCACUUUGCUCUUAAUGCAUUGUUUUUCUCUUACAUUUCCCAUGUCUAAAUAAGCCCAGAUGCCUCAGAAAUACUUCCCUGCACUACUAAGCUGUUUAUCUCAUGGAAGUGAUAUUUAUGAGGAAUGAGGAAGCAUGUCACAAAAGAACAGUCAAUGACUCCUAGCUAAACAACUUUGGGCAGGUGAAUGUAUGACUGCAAUUCCCACUACCACCACCACAUGGAAACACCAGUUAAACAUCCACAGUAUGGGAAAUUACCAUUCUUUAUUGAUCCUAUUUUUUUUUUCAAGAUACCCCUAAGUAUUUAAAAUGAAGAAUAUUUUCCAUUAGCUUAAAAAUAUAACUUUCAGUCUCUGACCUCAACCGGAAAAUUUGCAAGGUGUCUGAUUUAUACAUUGAAAUGGGACAUUAAUAAUCACAUGCUGUGUAUAUUUUCCUAAUAAAUAAUAAUAAGUUGUCAUACAUAGACUAAAGUCCUAUACUAGUCUGGAAAAAAAAGUGUCCAAAAUAGGCAUCGGAGAUAAAAUAUUUCUGACAUCAGCUCUAGAACAAAAGUACCAAAUAGAUUUAAUAGAAACUACAACAUGUUUCAAUAAAGUAAUGGCUAGUAAAUCAAUUCUGAAUAAGUGUGCAUUACAAUCUUAACUCAUUGAUUUUUGACUAAGUGAUACAACUAGAGAUGGACAAAAUUGCUUGGAUAUUGAACUAACCCAAAACAAUUCUGAGGCUCAGAAAUGCCCCAUUAUUAAUUAUUAUUAAUAUUAUUAUUAUUAUUAUUAUUCACUACCCACCCCCAUUAGUUUUCAUUUCUCUGCAUCUGAUUCUGGCAAAAAAUGAGGAAAAAAUGCCAAAAUACCUCAGAAAAAAGGCUGUUCUAAUUCAUAGAUGUUCUGUACCAGUUCUGCAGACCCAAGAAGUUCAGAGAAUUUUAAAUAAGCAUGUGAGUUGCUGGUUUCCUCUUUGAGCUGAGCUUCCAAACUGUUUGUGAUUAGAUGCUCACUAACUGUAGAGCAUAUAGAAGGAAAUCCUCCUAUUAAGAAAAUCUAUACGUGCACCUCCCCUUUGUGUCCUAGAAUUCAAUGCUUUAUUCUGUAGAAAGUGAACAAUCCCGAUGCCCUCAGCAUAGACAGUAAAAUUACUAUAUUGUGUACCUAAUUAUGAAAUGAGAUACCAUGGGAGAACCUGAGUUGGUGAUCAGCUUAUAUCCUAAAGCAAGAUAGUCCUUGUAACUUUAUCCCAAAUGCAGAUGCUAGUCUAAUUCAUAACAAUGUUGAAUAAUUUCAAUAAUAUACAAGGGCAUUGAUUUCCAAAGAAUAAUUAUACAUACUUCUCCUGAAAUGUUUUAAUUUUUAAAAUUUGUUUGGAGUACCUACUUACUCUUGCACUAUUGUUUGUAUAACUAGGAACAGCAGUGGUUUGAAUUCCAACCUAUAUAGCCAAAUAAAUUAUGUAUCAAACAGAUACAGUAUUUUGGAGAGGAGAGUGAGUUGAUAUCUGCUGUACUGAAUCAGAGAUUUCAAGGCCAGAAGGGAGCACUGUGAUCAUCUCAUCUGACCUUCUGUGUAACACAGGCCACAGAAUGUCCCCUGCAAAAUUCUUAGAGCAUAACUUUAAGAAAAAACAUCCAGUCUUGAUUUAAAAAAUGGCUAGUGAUAAAGAAUCCACCAAGAGCCCUUGGUAAAUUUUUCCAAUGGUUAAUUACCCUCAUUGUCAAAAUUUAGGUCAACCUUAUUUCCAGUCUGAAUUUGUUUAGCUUCAGCUUCAAGUCAUUUGAUCAUGUUAUGCUUUUCUCUGCUAGAUUGAAGAGCCCAUUUUUAAAUAUUUGUUCCCCAUUUUGAUACUUACAGAUUGUAAUCAAUUUACCCCUUAACCUUCUCUUUGUUUAGCUAAAUAGACUCAAGGAGCUCAGUUUAUCACAUAAGGCGUGGGGUUUUUUUUAAACCCUUUAAUCUUUCUUGUGGCUCUUCUCUGAACCCUCUCCAAUUUAUCAAAAUCCUUCUUGAAUUGAGGAUGCCAGAACUGGACCCAGUAUUCUAGCAGCAGUCACAGUAGUGCCAAAUACAGAGAGAGAAAAUAACCUCUCUACUCCUACUUGAGAUUCUCCUAUUUAUGCAUCCAAGAUUGAAUUAGCCCUUCUGGCCACAGCAUCACUCAGGGAGCUCGUGUCCUGCUGACUAUCCACCAUCACCCUCAAAUCUUUUUCAAAGUCACUGCUUCCAAAGAUACAGUUUCCCCAUCUUGUAAGUAUGACCUACAUUCUUUGCUCCUAGAUGUAUACAUUUAGCCAUAUUAUAACACAUAUUGUUGUUUGUGCCAGGUUUACCAGAUCGCUCUCAAUCAGUUACCAGUCCUCUUCAUUAUUUACCCACCCCCUCUCAAUUUUUGUCUUAUCUGCAAACUUUGUCAUUAAUGAUUUUGUUUGCUUUCAGGUUAGUGAUAAAAAUGUUAAAUAGUGUAAAGGCCAAGAACUGAUUCCUGUGAGACUCCACUGGAAACACACUCACUUGACAACAAUUCCCCAUUUACAAGUACAUUGAGACCUAUCAGUUACCCAGUUUUUAAUCAAUUUAAUUUGUGCCAGGUUACAUUUUAUAUUGUUUCUUUUAAUCAAAAUGUUGUGAGGUACUAAGUCAAAUGCCUCAGAGAAGUCUAAGUACAAUACGUGAACACUAUUACCUUUAUCAAACAAAUUUGUAAUCUCAGAAAAAAAUAUCAAGUUAUUUUGAUGGAAUCUAUUUUCCAUAAAUCCAUGUUGCUUUGCAUUAGUUACAUUACCCUCCUUUAAUUCUUUAUUAAUCAAGUCAUGUAUCAGCUGCUCCAUUAUCUUGCCCAGGAUCUAUGUCAGACCUAUAAUUAUCUGGGUCAUACCAUUUAUUAUUUUUAAAAAUUGGCAAAACAUUAGCUUUCUUCUAGUCUUCUGGAACUUUUCCAGUGCUCCAAGACUUAUUGAAAAAAAAAACAACAUUAAUGGUCCAGCAAUAUCCUCUCCCAGCUCUUUUAAAACUCUUGGAUGCAAGUUAUUUGGGCUUACUGAUUUUAAAAAGUUCUAACCUUUAGAGCUUCUAUAUUACUUUCUCCAGAGGUACUAGUCAAAUGGACAAAGAUAUCAGCACCAUAUGAUACUGUCAUGGGGUGUCCAUCCCACACAGGACUGAAAGGUGGCCAAGUAGGGUUGGCCAGGCUGAACCUGUAGGAGAAGCAAGGAAGGCUGGGACCUAAUUGUUGAUGGUGCCCAACUGAGGAGGAAAUUUAUAAGCCAAGAAGCUGGCAACAGAAGGGGGCUGCAGGAAGGCAAACUGCAGUUAUUCCCUGAGAGGAGGGAAUUGGGAGGAUGGUGGACCCAGAGAGGGAUGAAUCCAAGAAGGUAGGGAAAGGCUCAGGAGAAAGCAGCAUGAUAGGAUAGUGCACAUCUUGACUGCUGACUGGAGGGCCUUUGAGCUGGAACCUGGAGUAGAAGGCAGCCCCAGGUUCCCCUGUCAGCCAUUGGGGAAAUGGCACAGGCCUGGCAGAGGACAGUGGACUGACUGGGACAGUUGGUCCUGGAAAAAAAAAUUGUUACACUACCCCUGGAAGGGAAACAUGUAUGGUGACCCAGCCUGAGGGCUGAGCCAUAAAGAGAAGGCUGCAGUUCCUGGAGCAAGGGAGGUCUGCAGGAUGAGAGGAGGACCGGAAAGACACUGCUGGAGGAGGGUGCAACGCGUGGCUGGAGUUUAUCCCGGGCUGGCCAGGAGGAGGUGCUACUAGUGUUGAGUACACCCCAUCACAGAUACCAAAAACAGAACAGAAAUAUUUAACGAACAUUUACUUCUGCCUUAUUAUUAAUUCUACCACUUCCAUCUAGUAAUGGACCAAUACCAUUGUCAGGAUUCUUUUUGUUCCUAAUAUAUUAAAAAACACAAAUCUAAAAAAAAAACCAAAAAAACAAACCCACCUCUUUCUUAUUGUCCUUAACUCUGAUACAUGUGGCAUCUCUCUCAUAUAAUACUAGCCAGGGAAGAAGCACCAGCGUUGGACUCCUGAAUGAUAUCUGAGAUAUUACGAUAUCCUAAAGCAAGUUACAAGUCAGCCAUAACAGAGCAAGAAUAACAGUUAGAUGGCAUGCACUGGGUGACAAGAUACAGCCACAAAUAAAGAAUGUUGGGUUGUGUGUGUGUGUGUCUUUUGUCAAUUCACUGACGUUCAUGAUGUAAGCACCAGUAGACGAAGAACAAACUGGUGGCUGAGAAAAGAUUUUGGUUUUUUUUAUGUUAUACACAACAUUUACAAUAUAAACAGUUUACCACAUGCUCUUGCUAAUUGUAUGUAUUUGAAUGGGUCAUCUAAAUACUUUUAUAGUUGCCCUCUUACCCUUAAUAAGUGAUUUUCAUGUGAUGUCACCUUUUGCGUUUCAUCUUUAUCUUUUUAAAGUCAGCAAUGAAAGAAUAAAAAAAUGUGAAUUUCAAA